This 453-nucleotide ribosomal RNA is filed under the name uncultured bacterium. RNAcentral's name for it is "bacterial SSU rRNA". It matches the Rfam family "Bacterial small subunit ribosomal RNA", at positions 340 to 786 of the family's 1533-position model. The record is from RNAcentral.
UACGGAAGGCAGCAGUGGGGAAUAUUGCACAAUGGGCGCAAGCCUGAUGCAGCCAUGCCGCGUGUAUGAAGAAGGCCUUCGGGUUGUAAAGUACUUUCAGUCGUGAGGAAGGUGUUAAGGUUAAUAACCUUAGCAAUUGACGUUAGCGACAGAAGAAGCACCGGCUAACUCCGUGCCAGCAGCCGCGGUAAUACGGAGGGUGCGAGCGUUAAUCGGAAUUACUGGGCGUAAAGGGCACGCAGGCGGUUAAUUAAAGUUGGAUGUGAAAUCCCCGGGCUUAACCUGGGAAUGGCAUUCAAGACUGGUUAGCUAGAGUCUUGUAGAGGGGGUAGAAUUCCAUGUGUAGCGGUGAAAUGCGUAGAGAUGUGGAGGAAUACCGGUGGCGAAGGCGGCCCCUGGACAAAGACUGACGCUCAUGUGCGAAAGCGUGGGGAGCAAACAGGAUUAGAUACC